UAGUAGUAAAAAUUAGUUGGCUGAUAAAUUAAUCACUGGAAAAUUUUAAAAUAAAACUGGCACAUCAGUACUCUUGAUUUAUUUGAUUAUCAAAAAAGCUGUUUUAAUUAAUUUAAAAUCACUUAGUCCAACAUCACCCAUUUCUUAUUUCUCAAUUGUCUGCACCGAUUAAUGCACUUAAAAAAAAAAAAAGAUAGAUAACAAAAUACAUAUCUAAUUAUCAACUUCGUUCAUUAUCAUAUAUACUUAUAAAUUCAAAAAGCUUGAAUGAAUCAUUAACAUUUCUAGUUAGUAGAGAGGAGAGACAUUGAAUUGUGUACAGCAAUAUUGAGGCGUUUCCUUGACCACUUCUUUUUUUUUUCCCUUUCUCUUAACUGUUUUUGCAACACGCAUUUACGAUUUAUGCUUUUUUUAUUAUUAUUAUACGACAAGAAUAUAAAUAAGUAUUUGACUACACAAUUCACUAUAUAUAUGCAAUUACUCACUUGAAAACAAUUUUUCUUUAUUUGAGAAAAAAACAUUUUCACAUGAAGAUCGACCAUAUAUGACUAGAGUUGGCAAACCUAAACGUACCAUGUUUAUCGUAAAUCAAGAAACAACAUAGGAGAGACUUUAAUCCAGUUGUAUAGCUUUUAACUACUAGAUUUGCCUCUCGCAUAGGCUCACUCACCUAUAUAAACUCUUUGUGGUUAGUUGUUUAUAGGUCGGUUAUACUAAGACUAUCUUCUGUGUUUCUUGUUAAUUAUUGAAAUAUUCGAGUGUCCGAUAUUAUUCCGGUACAAUUGUAUAAACUCUUUGUGGUAAUUGUUUAUGAAAUCUUCCAUUGAGUUUUUUUUUUUUUCGCAUAUAUACUUAAACGUUUUUUAUUAGAAAUUUUCUUUUAAAUUUUUUUGAUUAAUCAAAAAUGCGAUGAAUGAAAUUAGUAUCGAUCAAAUGGAGUGUUCGCAUUUUACCAAAAUAAUUGAACAUUUAGGCACAAAGAUGAGUCCAUGGAUGACAUUAUGGCUUAGUGAUCUUUUAGUUAAGGACUCACCUAUCAAUGAAAUCAAACAAUCAAAU
RNAcentral lists this long non-coding RNA (1059 nucleotides) under Capsella rubella. RNAcentral describes it as "long non-coding RNA (CRUB_LNC003236)". The record is from RNAcentral. Lineage: Eukaryota; Viridiplantae; Streptophyta; Magnoliopsida; Brassicales; Brassicaceae.